RNAcentral lists this non-coding RNA (87 nucleotides) under Steroidobacter denitrificans. Its description in RNAcentral is "c-di-GMP sequence". It matches the Rfam family "c-di-GMP-I riboswitch aptamer". From Rfam's summary of the family: GEMM was predicted in a large-scale screen for bacterial structured RNA regulatory elements. Genes associated with GEMM are involved in a diverse array of functions, including chemotaxis regulation, signal transduction, secretion and chitin. The record is from Rfam by way of RNAcentral. Lineage: Bacteria; Pseudomonadati; Pseudomonadota; Gammaproteobacteria; Steroidobacterales; Steroidobacteraceae.
GCUACGCAAGGGCAGAACCGCUGAAAGGCGGUGACGCAAAGCCUCCGGUCCGAACGCGCGAGGGCGCAGGAUAGCGGGGUUGCCGGU